Molecule: long non-coding RNA, 1768 nt
Organism: Agrilus planipennis (emerald ash borer)
Lineage: Eukaryota; Metazoa; Arthropoda; Insecta; Coleoptera; Buprestidae
Exons: 6
Source: RefSeq, a predicted model, not a curated record
GUUUAGGCUUAGUGUUUAGGCAUGUAUAGAAGGCUAUUUUGUUUUUCUUGUUGGAUUUAUUUAAUUUAGUGCUGUUAAUUUGUUUUCCUCACCCCCUUUGUAAUGCAAGUAAGUAGGUUAGUUAGACGUCUGUCGAAGAUACAUGUACAUUUUAUAUAUUUAUAAGUCUAUGCACACGUUUACUUGUAAUAAAUACCUGUGUGACCUUCAGCAUUCCUAGUUUUUUAGCAUUUUGUAACAUUCUCUACUGUAAAAACUAAUCUGUUUAUAUUUUACCAUUGUUACAUGUAACAAAGCAUUUUGUAAGGACACUACUAAGACUUGGACACCGCAUGUCAACUGGCAGUGGUCAUAGGCCUGCAUAGCAGUCCCCUUUCACCUGAGGAUGUAGCAGUAUUUGAAAGAAACGUGAAAGUGCCUUCUCUUCAUACUUGAAACAAGUAACAUGUAUCUUUCGCUAAAGGAAGGAUUUGCAUGAUAGAAAUGCAAUUCCUUGAAUGCAUUAGGAAGUAACACAAUCAGAAAGUUAUAUUUCUGGAGUUGUGAUCAGGCGAUGAAGCAAUAACGUACAUGUUUUCAAUUGGUUAAAUUACGAAAUAUUUGCCGGGAACCGUCGCAGAAAUGUAAUAUGAUGCUUCUGCGUACCGUUUCUGCGUCAUUACCGCUUCAGGCAUUAGCAUUCGCAAAUCCUUGCAAGCCUGAUAGCAGUGUUCAGUGCAUGAGUGUAUCUCGUUUUUGCUGUCCGUUGGUCUAUGCUGUCUAUAAAGGGAGACGACGCCUGAAGGCUUGCUGUGAUAACAACCUAGGAUUGGAUGGACAAACUAUUUUAUUUCCAAAAAUGCCUCUAAGGAGCUGAUUGAAAAAUUCAUUGGACAUAAAAUGUUAACAGUGGUUUCCAUUAAAACAUAAAGAUGAACAUGAGGAGGUAAAUCAAGAAGACAAACAAGUAAGAAGGAUUCGAAACCUGGAGAUGUGAAGCCCCGUUAAUGGUUUUUAGGAAAAACAUGCAGUCCAAUUCACACUGGUGUACAUAAGUUUGCGCAAAUGACGUUUAUUUCUUCUGCUCUGUGGCUCAUUUCACCAUCGAUGGUAUUGGUAUUUCUUUCAAAAGUAUCUGUUGUUAGAGGCAGUUCUCUGCUGUCAACGAUUACGAAUAAAACUCGAGCACCUUCGGUAUUCGUCGAGCAACGUAGCCGUGCAUCUAUGAUAUUUGGUAUUUCUUUUAACAAUUAUCUAUUGUCCACGUCAUAAAUUGGAGUUGUAUGCGUCUAUGAUUAGCUCGCAACAUUUAUCUAUGCUAUGAUGUAGAUUGACACUUGAUGCAUGGUUUGUUAUAUUUCAUAUCUUGUUUAUGUGAGAGUGUGUAAUUAAUUGGUACUUUCUUUUAGGUGUUUAAUGCCUUCCGUAAUUAAUAGUGUAAUUAAUACGUUUUUUUGUUCAUUUCUGCAGAUUGUUCAACAAAUGCAAAAGAAAUAAAGUUCAGUUUGGUCCAACUGAAACAACCAAUGUCUACUUGGGCAGCAUCUUUCCUGGAUUGUAUUCAUGAUUAGCUGUUUACAUCUUUGCCUUGCAACAUUAUGAAGUUAAUUUUCAACUGAUGUGUGAGAGCAACUGGAGAUUAAUUUGAAUUCCAUGGAAACAACAAAUUUUCUGCGAUGGUAUCUCUGCCGGAUUUGUUUUGCUUUUUACACCUUCAAAGUUUGGAACGUUACAGUCUACAGUUAAUUAAGAUCGACGCUGAAGAAGACAAAGAAGACCCCGUAGUUAA